CAGUCGAACGAACUCUGGUAUUGAUUGGUGCUUGCAUCAUGAUUUACAUUUGAGUGAGUGGCGAACUGGUGAGUAACACGUGGGAAACCUGCCCAGAAGCGGGGGAUAACACCUGGAAACAGAUGCUAAUACCGCAUAACAACUUGGACCGCAUGGUCCGAGUUUGAAAGAUGGCUUCGGCUAUCACUUUUGGAUGGUCCCGCGGCGUAUUAGCUAGAUGGUGAGGUAACGGCUCACCAUGGCAAUGAUACGUAGCCGACCUGAGAGGGUAAUCGGCCACAUUGGGACUGAGACACGGCCCAAACUCCUACGGGAGGCAGCAGUAGGGAAUCUUCCACAAUGGACGAAAGUCUGAUGGAGCAACGCCGCGUGAGUGAAGAAGGGUUUCGGCUCGUAAAACUCUGUUGUUAAAGAAGAACAUAUCUGAGAGUAACUGUUCAGGUAUUGACGGUAUUUAACCAGAAAGCCACGGCUAACUACGUGCCAGCAGCCGCGGUAAUACGUAGGUGGCAAGCGUUGUCCGGAUUUAUUGGGCGUAAAGCGAGCGCAGGCGGUUUUUUAAGUCUGAUGUGAAAGCCUUCGGCUCAACCGAAGAAGUGCAUCGGAAACUGGGAAACUUGAGUGCAGAAGAGGACAGUGGAACUCCAUGUGUAGCGGUGAAAUGCGUAGAUAUAUGGAAGAACACCAGUGGCGAAGGCGGCUGUCUGGUCUGUAACUGACGCUGAGGCUCGAAAGUAUGGGUAGCAAACAGGAUUAGAUACCCUGGUAGUCCAUACCGUAAACGAUGAAUGCUAAGUGUUGGAGGGUUUCCGCCCUUCAGUGCUGCAGCUAACGCAUUAAGCAUUCCGCCUGGGGAGUACGGCCGCAAGGCUGAAACUCAAAGGAAUUGACGGGGGCCCGCACAAGCGGUGGAGCAUGUGGUUUAAUUCGAAGCUACGCGAAGAACCUUACCAGGUCUUGACAUACUAUGCAAAUCUAAGAGAUUAGACGUUCCCUUCGGGGACAUGGAUACAGGUGGUGCAUGGUUGUCGUCAGCUCGUGUCGUGAGAUGUUGGGUUAAGUCCCGCAACGAGCGCAACCCUUAUUAUCAGUUGCCAGCAUUAAGUUGGGCACUCUGGUGAGACUGCCGGUGACAAACCGGAGGAAGGUGGGGAUGACGUCAAAUCAUCAUGCCCCUUAUGACCUGGGCUACACACGUGCUACAAUGGAUGGUACAACGAGUUGCGAACUCGCGAGAGUAAGCUAAUCUCUUAAAGCCAUUCUCAGUUCGGAUUGUAGGCUGCAACUCGCCUACAUGAAGUCGGAAUCGCUAGUAAUCGCGGAUCAGCAUGCCGCGGUGAAUACGUUCCCGGGCCUUGUACACACCGCCCGUCACACCAUGAGAGUUUGUAACACCCAAAGUCGGUGGGGUAACCUUUUAGGA
This 1423-nucleotide ribosomal RNA is filed under the name Lactiplantibacillus plantarum. Its description in RNAcentral is "bacterial SSU rRNA". It matches the Rfam family "Bacterial small subunit ribosomal RNA". Lineage: Bacteria; Bacillati; Bacillota; Bacilli; Lactobacillales; Lactobacillaceae. The record is from RNAcentral.